AACUUUCCAGAAAGCGAUUUAAAGCUUGAAAUCGAGCUAGAGUCAAAUCGUAAAAUCGUCAAACAAAAAUACACAAAUAUUAACACCAAAACACAUUGUUUUAUUGAUAAAUGAUACUAUUUUACAUUGUACAUUGUUUACAAAGCACAGUUGUCAGAGGGUGAGAGCCCCAUCAUGCCCGGAUCCUGUCGCACCAUGAGGCGUUGUCUGCGAGUCGGGUUGUUUGGGAAUGCGAGUCCCAAUAGGGCAGUAAAUUCCGUCCAAGGCUAACUACUGGCGUGAGACCGAUAGCAAACAAGUACGGCGAGCGAAAGACGAAAAGGACUUUAAAAAGAGAGUCAAAGAGUGCUUGAAAUUAUCGGGAGGGAAGCGAACAGGGGCCGGCGAUGCGUCCCGGUCAGUUGUGGAACGGUGUAAGUCGGUCCGCCGAUUGGCUCAGGGUGUGAACCGGUGCGGAUUGGUAUGGCGGCCAAAGCCCAGGCUGUUGAUAUGCCUGUCGAGAUGCCGGGUGUGCCGAUCGUGGUUGGCAACGCGCGCCGUCACGGCGUGCUUUGGCACCUGCGUGCUCCUAGCACCUGCCUGCGGGCACCCCAUUCGGCCCGUCUUGAAACACGGACCAAGGAGUCUGACAUGUGUGCGAGUCAACGGGUGAGUAAACACGCAAGGCGCAAGGAAGCUGAUUAGCGGGAUCCCCCUCGUGGGUUGCACCGCCGACCGACCUUGAUCUUCUGAGAAGGGUUCGAGUGUGAGCAUGCCUGUUG
This 761-nucleotide long non-coding RNA is filed under the name Helianthus annuus (common sunflower). RNAcentral's name for it is "Eukaryotic large subunit ribosomal RNA". It matches the Rfam family "Eukaryotic large subunit ribosomal RNA", at positions 146 to 811 of the family's 3401-position model. Lineage: Eukaryota; Viridiplantae; Streptophyta; Magnoliopsida; Asterales; Asteraceae. The record is from RNAcentral.